UACGGAGGGGGUUAGCGUUGUUCGGAAUUACUGGGCGUAAAGCGCGCGUAGGCGGACUGGAAAGCUGGGGGUGAAAUCCCGGGGCUCAACCCCGGAACGGCCUCCAAAACUAUCAGUCUAGAGUUCGAGAGAGGUGAGUGGAAUUCCGAGUGUAGAGGUGAAAUUCGUAGAUAUUCGGAGGAACACCAGUGGCGAAGGCGGCUCACUGGCUCGAUACUGACGCUGAGGUGCGAAAGCGUGGGGAGCAAACAGG
RNAcentral lists this ribosomal RNA (253 nucleotides) under uncultured bacterium. Its description in RNAcentral is "partial 16S ribosomal RNA". It matches the Rfam family "Bacterial small subunit ribosomal RNA", at positions 524 to 776 of the family's 1533-position model. The record is from RNAcentral.